Molecule: long non-coding RNA, 772 nt
Filed under: Nicotiana benthamiana
Lineage: Eukaryota; Viridiplantae; Streptophyta; Magnoliopsida; Solanales; Solanaceae
Description: long non-coding RNA (NBEN_LNC026043)
Source: RNAcentral
AGUCAACCAGAAAAUCACCAUAUUGUUACAUAUGUCCCACAACUUUUGUUCAGCCACAUUAGUAGUUGGUCGGGGACAGGUACCAUCAACAAAACCAAUUUUAUUCUUAGCAGAUAAGACCACUAUCAUCUUUCUCUUCCAACCCCAAAACCACUACCCGAAAAAGGAGUAGGAACAAGUGAAACACCAGGAAUAUCGGAAGAGUAGACAAACAGAGGGCUCGUAGGAUCAAUAGAUGAAGCACUAUUAGGAUUCAUAUUUAACAUCAGGAACAACAUUAAGUAGAAAUCGAUUCAAUUUCUGCGAGCGAUUCGACACACUAGAUUUUCACCAAAACACAUGCAAACUUCCUAACUAAAAGUGAGAAUAUGUUUACCCGACUUCUUCGCUACCGGAGAAGAACGGCCUUCAAUGCACGGUCAAAACCCUAGCUCCGAGUGAUACAAAACCAACGCUUGUGAAUCCGCCGGAAUCAAGCAUGAAAGGUGUCGGAAAUCUACCCCAAACACCAAGCUGAGGAGAAUGUUAACAGGUGAAACCAAAACAAAACUCCGAUUCAGCAGCUAACUGAAAACGCACAGAAACUGGAAACACCAGUGAGACCUCAACAAAACUGAGCCGGAUCAACAAAGAAUAGAGAAGAAGAGUCCCGAAAAACCACGCUCUGAUACCGUGAAAACAUGCUAGGUUGAGAUGAGAAUCGAGCUUCAUCUUUUUUGUUCCAGAGAGUUCGAAAGAGAGAAAGAGUUCAUACAUUCUGAGUGAAGAGAAA